RNAcentral lists this ribosomal RNA (403 nucleotides) under bacterium. Its description in RNAcentral is "partial 16S ribosomal RNA". It matches the Rfam family "Bacterial small subunit ribosomal RNA", at positions 355 to 776 of the family's 1533-position model. The record is from RNAcentral.
UGGGGAAUAUUGCACAAUGGAGGGAACUCUGAUGCAGCGACGCCGCGUGAACGAAGAAGGCUUUCGAGUCGUAAAGUUCUUUUAUAUGGGAAGAUAAUGACGGUACCAUAAGAAGAAGCCCCGGCUAACUACGUGCCAGCAGCCGCGGUAAUACGUAGGGGGCUAGCGUUGUCCGGAAUCACUGGGCGUAAAGGGUUCGCAGGCGGAAAUGCAAGUCAGGUGUAAAAGGCAGUAGCUUAACUACUGUAAGCAUUUGAAACUGCAUAUCUUGAGAAGAGUAGAGGUAAGUGGAAUUCUUAGUGUAGCGGUGAAAUGCGUAGAUAUUAAAAAGAAUACCGGUGGCGAAGGCGACUUACUGGGCUCAUUCUGACGCUGAGGAACGAAAGCGUGGGUAGCAAACAGG